This 484-nucleotide ribosomal RNA is filed under the name uncultured bacterium. RNAcentral's name for it is "partial 16S ribosomal RNA". It matches the Rfam family "Bacterial small subunit ribosomal RNA", at positions 30 to 507 of the family's 1533-position model. The record is from RNAcentral.
AUUGAACGCUGGCGGCAGGCCUAACACAUGCAAGUCGAGCGGAUGAAGGGAGCUUGCUCCUGGAUUCAGCGGCGGACGGGUGAGUAAUGCCUAGGAAUCUGCCUGGUAGUGGGGGAUAACGUCCGGAAACGGGCGCUAAUACCGCAUACGUCCUGAGGGAGAAAGUGGGGGAUCUUCGGACCUCACGCUAUCAAAUGAGCCUAGGUCGGAUUAGCUAGUUGGUGGGGUAAAGGCCUACCAAGGCGACGAUCCGUAACUGGUCUGAGAGGAUGAUCAGUCACACUGGAACUGAGACACGGUCCAGACUCCUACGGGAGGCAGCAGUGGGGAAUAUUGGACAAUGGGCGAAAGCCUGAUCCAGCCAUGCCGCGUGUGUGAAGAAGGUCUUCGGAUUGUAAAGCACUUUAAGUUGGGAGGAAGGGCAGUAAGUUAAUACCUUGCUGUUUUGACGUUACCAACACAAUAAGCACCGGCUAACUUCGUG